This 269-nucleotide ribosomal RNA is filed under the name uncultured prokaryote. RNAcentral describes it as "partial 16S ribosomal RNA". It matches the Rfam family "Bacterial small subunit ribosomal RNA", at positions 524 to 792 of the family's 1533-position model. The record is from RNAcentral.
UACGUAGGGGGCAAGCGUUAUCCGGAUUUACUGGGUGUAAAGGGAGCGCAGACGGAACUGCAAGUCUGAUGUGAAAGCCCGGGGCUCAACCGCGGGACUGCAUUGGAAACUGUAGAUCUGGAGUGCCGUAGGGGCAAGCGGAAUUCCUGGUGUAGCGGUGAAAUGCGUAGAUAUCAGGAGGAACACCGGCGGCGAAGGCGGCUUGCUGGACGGCAACUGACGUUGAGGCUCGAAAGCGUGGGGAGCAAACAGGAUUAGAUACCCUGGUA